CCUUGGAAAAAAAAACACACACAUUGUGAAAUUGAGCCUGACAUCAGUCUGAUAGCAAAUAUUGAGCCCUGAGAACUCAAAUUUCUGGCAGGUACUGUCAAGAUCCACUUUUAUCCCUGUUGAUGAAACUGAAGUUCUCUGAGAGGUUUAGUUCAGGCUCACACAGCCGUGAUGGCAUCAUUGGGAUUUGAACUCACAUGUGAAGGACUCCAAACUUGAACUGUCUUUUAAGCUUGUUAUUGAAGGUGAUCAAACCCGUGUCAGUAGAGCAAGGACUACAGUGAGAAGCCUUACACCUGUGGCUUUGCCCCUGGGGCAGGUCUUUCUGAAGGAUUCUUUCCCAGAAGUAAGAGUGUGUGAGCUCCAAACUUCAAAGCCAGGACCCUGUGCUCGGAGAAGGUGGAAGUUGGAACACUGGCCUGUCUCAGAAGGAAUGGCCCUCUGUGCCCAUUGGCUUUUCCCAUAAGGCAGGUAGGCAGAGCAGCGUGGGGUUCAGAGCCCGUGCCCAGGCAGAGCUGUUCAAUGGGGAUGAGGACUUCCUCAAACCACAGCCUUUUCAGAAUUUUGAAGGCACAGUUUGUUAAUGUGGGGUGUUGGUUCAAUCCAUAUGUAUUUGUAGAGAACUCUACUUUGUCAUUUCUGUUCCUAGAAUAAAGCCAGUCUGGGUUCUGUUCCACUGCUUAAG
Heterocephalus glaber (naked mole-rat) is the source of this 685-nucleotide long non-coding RNA. Lineage: Eukaryota; Metazoa; Chordata; Mammalia; Rodentia; Bathyergidae. The record is from Ensembl.